ACUCCGUACGGGAGGCAGCAGGUGGGGAAUAUUGCACAAUGGGCGCAAGCCUGAUGCAGCCAUGCCGCGUGUAUGAAGAAGGCCUUCGGGUUGAUAAAGUACUUUCAGCAGUGAGGAAGGUGGGUAUGUUAAUAGCAUGCACUUCAUUUGACUGUUAGCUGCAGAAGAAGCACCGGCUAACUCCGUGCCAGCAGCCGCGGUAAUACGGAGGGUGCGAGCGUUAAUCGGAAUUACUGGGCGUAAAGCGCAUGCAGGCGGCCUUGUUAAGUCAGAUGUGAAAGCCCGGGGCUUAACCUCGGAAUUGCAUUUGAAACUGGCAGGCUAGAGUCUGUAGAGGGGGGUAGAAUUUCAGGUGUAGCGGUGAAAUGCGUAGAGAU
RNAcentral lists this ribosomal RNA (377 nucleotides) under uncultured bacterium. RNAcentral describes it as "bacterial SSU rRNA". It matches the Rfam family "Bacterial small subunit ribosomal RNA", at positions 335 to 697 of the family's 1533-position model. The record is from RNAcentral.